This 637-nucleotide ribosomal RNA is filed under the name Microbacterium sp. Se2Ps_2234. RNAcentral's name for it is "bacterial SSU rRNA". It matches the Rfam family "Bacterial small subunit ribosomal RNA", at positions 381 to 1029 of the family's 1533-position model. The record is from RNAcentral. Lineage: Bacteria; Bacillati; Actinomycetota; Actinomycetes; Micrococcales; Microbacteriaceae.
GCCUGAUGCAGCAACGCCGCGUGAGGGACGACGGCCUUCGGGUUGUAAACCUCUUUUAGCAAGGAAGAAGCGAAAGUGACGGUACUUGCAGAAAAAGCACCGGCUAACUACGUGCCAGCAGCCGCGGUAAUACGUAGGGUGCAAGCGUUAUCCGGAAUUAUUGGGCGUAAAGAGCUCGUAGGCGGUUUGUCGCGUCUGCUGUGAAAUCUGGGGGCUCAACCCCCAGCCUGCAGUGGGUACGGGCAGACUAGAGUGCGGUAGGGGAGAUUGGAAUUCCUGGUGUAGCGGUGGAAUGCGCAGAUAUCAGGAGGAACACCGAUGGCGAAGGCAGAUCUCUGGGCCGUAACUGACGCUGAGGAGCGAAAGGGUGGGGAGCAAACAGGCUUAGAUACCCUGGUAGUCCACCCCGUAAACGUUGGGAACUAGUUGUGGGGUCCAUUCCACGGAUUCCGUGACGCAGCUAACGCAUUAAGUUCCCCGCCUGGGGAGUACGGCCGCAAGGCUAAAACUCAAAGGAAUUGACGGGGACCCGCACAAGCGGCGGAGCAUGCGGAUUAAUUCGAUGCAACGCGAAGAACCUUACCAAGGCUUGACAUAUACGAGAACGGGCUAGAAAUAGUCAACUCUUUGGACACUC